This 296-nucleotide signal recognition particle RNA is filed under the name Microcebus murinus (gray mouse lemur). Its description in RNAcentral is "Metazoan signal recognition particle RNA (ENSMICG00000028397.2)". It matches the Rfam family "Metazoan signal recognition particle RNA". From Rfam's summary of the family: The signal recognition particle (SRP) is a universally conserved ribonucleoprotein. It is involved in the co-translational targeting of proteins to membranes. Lineage: Eukaryota; Metazoa; Chordata; Mammalia; Primates; Cheirogaleidae. The record is from RNAcentral.
GGAGCACGCUGGUGCAUGCCUGUAGUCCCAGCUUACUCCGGAGGCUGAGGUGGGAAAAUUGCUUGAGCCCAGGAGUUCUGGGCUGUAGUGUGUUUUGUCAGUUGGGUGUCUGCACUAAGUUUGCCUUCAGUAUGGUGACCUUCUGGGUGUGGGGGACCACUAGUUUGCCUAAGGACAGGCAAACUGGCGCAGGUUGGAAACAGCUGGUCAAAACUCCCAUGUUGAGUAGUAGUGGGAUUGUGCCUGUGAACAGCCACUGCAUUCCAGCCUGGGCAGCAUAGUGAGACCCAAUCUCU